This 669-nucleotide long non-coding RNA is filed under the name Nicotiana tabacum (common tobacco). Its description in RNAcentral is "long non-coding RNA (NTAB_LNC012217)". Lineage: Eukaryota; Viridiplantae; Streptophyta; Magnoliopsida; Solanales; Solanaceae. The record is from RNAcentral.
UUCACUAUUUAAGCUAUUAGUGAGCAUAUAAUAUAUAUAAUCCAUGAUCAUAACUCCAUAACCUAACAUUAUCAGUAUUUGCCAGACUAACACUUAAUUAAUCAAACUAGAAGUGUCAUAAAAUCACGCGCUUUCCUUUUUUUCCCUUUGGGAGGGAGGGUGGAGGGGGGAGCAAGCCAGCCUAAUGAAAUAACAUUUUUGAACCUCCGGAAUUGGAUAUUUUGCUUAUAAGUUAAAACCAUACAAGAAGAGAAAAGGUAUAGUCACCACAGUUAUUCUGUUCUUUGGCAACACUCAAAGCCUCUUUACAGACAUUAAACCCUGAUGAUUAAAACCAUUGAAGACGAGAUCCCAAAGUACGAGGCGAUUAUCUGCCUUCAUUCUUCAUCACCAUCCUCAUCCUCCUCCUCUUCUUCCUCUUCGUCUUCAGAGCCUUCACUGUCCUUUCCCUGCAUUAGCAUUCAAGUCAAAUCAACCAAUUCAACAAUUUGACCAGAGAACAUUUAUCUGCAAUCUUAAUAACAUCAGGAAGACUUAAAGCCAGUUUUACAAUUUUAAGCCAUUAAUGACUCUUUCUGCUCUUGACAAGAGCCCUCAAGAACCAUUAAACACAGGUCUUUUCACCUGAUAUAAUCAACAACAGGAAAGUAAUCAAGAAGUGAUUUGUGC